GGGAACUCUGACACGAGGUGCUGCAUGGCUGUCGUCAGCUCGUGUCGUGAGAUGGUUGGGUUAACGUCCGUAACGAGCGCAACCCUUGUCCUUAGUUACCAGCACGUUAUGGGUGGGCACUCUAAGGAGACUGCCGGUGACAAACCGGAGGAAGGUGGGGAUGACGUCAAGUCAUCAUGGCCCUUACGGCCUGGGCUACACACGUGCUACAAUGGUCGGUACAAAGGGUUGCCAAGCCGCGAGGUGGAGCUAAUCCCAUAAAACCGAUCGUAGUCCGGAUCGCAGUCUGCAACUCGACUGCGUGAAGUCGGAAUCGCUAGUAAUCGUGAAUCAGAAUGUCACGGUGAAUACGUUCCCGGGCCUU
This 364-nucleotide ribosomal RNA is filed under the name uncultured Pseudomonas sp. RNAcentral describes it as "bacterial SSU rRNA". It matches the Rfam family "Bacterial small subunit ribosomal RNA", at positions 1021 to 1382 of the family's 1533-position model. The record is from RNAcentral. Lineage: Bacteria; Pseudomonadati; Pseudomonadota; Gammaproteobacteria; Pseudomonadales; Pseudomonadaceae.